UACGGGGGGAGCAAGCGUUGUUCGGAUUUACUGGGCGUAAAGGGCGCGUAGGCGGUCAGCACAAGUCAGUUGUGAAAUCUCCGGGCUUAACUCGGAAAGGUCAACUGAUACUGUGCGACUAGAGUGCGGAAGGGGCAACUGGAAUUCUCGGUGUAGCGGUGAAAUGCGUAGAGAUCGGAAAGAACACCAACGGCGAAAGCACUCUGCUGGGCCGACACUGACACUGAGAGACGAAAGCUAGGGGAGCGAAUGGG
RNAcentral lists this ribosomal RNA (254 nucleotides) under uncultured bacterium. RNAcentral's name for it is "partial 16S ribosomal RNA". It matches the Rfam family "Bacterial small subunit ribosomal RNA", at positions 524 to 776 of the family's 1533-position model. The record is from RNAcentral.